Molecule: ribosomal RNA, 301 nt
Filed under: uncultured bacterium
Lineage: Bacteria
Description: partial 16S ribosomal RNA
Rfam family: Bacterial small subunit ribosomal RNA
Source: RNAcentral
CAGUAGCCGCGGAAAUACGAAGGGGGCUAGCGUUGUUCGGAAUUACUGGGCGUAAAGCGCACGUAGGCGGAUACUUAAGUCAGGGGUGAAAUCCCGGGGCUCAACCCCGGAACUGCCUUUGAUACUGGGUAUCUCGAGUCCGGAAGAGGUGAGUGGAAUUCCGAGUGUAGAGGUGAAAUUCGUAGAUAUUCGGAGGAACACCAGUGGCGAAGGCGGCUCACUGGUCCGGUACUGACGCUGAGGUGCGAAAGCGUGGGGAGCAAACAGGAUUAGAUACCCCUGUAGUCCCUGUCUCUUAUAA